GAGUUAUCGCUAUUAGAUGAGCCUAUGUUAGAUUAGCUAGUUGGUAAGGUAAUAGCUUACCAAGGCUAUGAUCUAUAGCUGGUCUGAGAGGACGAUCAGCCACACUGGAACUGAGAUACGGUCCAGACUCCUACGGGAGGCAGCAGUGGGGAAUAUUGGACAAUGGGCGCAAGCCUGAUCCAGCUAUGCCGCAUGAGUGAAGAAGGCCUUAGGGUUGUAAAGCUCUUUCAGCAGGGAAGAUAAUGACGGUACCUGCAGAAGAAGUCCCGGCAAACUCCGUGCCAGCAGCCGCGGUAAUACGGAGGGGGCAAGCGUUGUUCGGAAUUAUUGGGCGUAAAGGGCAUGUAGGCGGUUUAAUAAGUUAAAAGUGAAAUACCAGGGCUCAACUCUGGAGCUGCUUUUAAUACUAUUUAAACUAGAGAUCGAGAGAGGAUAGUGGAAUUCCUAGUGUAGAGGUGAAAUUCGUAGAUAUUAGGAGGAACACCAGUGGCGAAGGCGACUAUCUGGCUCAGUUCUGACGCUGAGGUGCGAAAGCGUGGGGAGCAACAGGAUUAGAUACCCUGGUAGUCCACGCUGUAAACUAUGAGUGCUAAAUGUGGGGAUAUUUUAUCUCUGUAUUGUAGCUAACGCGUUAAGCACUCCGCCUGGGGACUACGGUCGCAAGACUAAAACUCAAAGGAAUUGACGGGGACCCGCACAAGCGGUGGAGCAUGUGGUUUAAUUCGAUGCAACGCGAAAAACCUUACCACUUUUUGAUAUGAAGGUCGUAUCUUUUUUAACCGGAAGAGUCAGUUUGGCUGGACCUUACACAGGUGCUGCAUGGCUGUCGUCAGCUCGUGUCGUGAGAUGUUGGGUUAAGUCCCGCAACGAGCGUAACCCUUGUCCUUAGUUGCCAACAGGUAAUGCUGGGAACUCUAAGGAAACUGCCAGUGAUAAACUGGAGGAAGGUGAGGAUGAUGUCAAGUCAGCACGGCCCUUAUAAGGUGGGCUACACACGUGCUACAAUGGUAACUACAAUAGGUUGCAAGAUCGCAAGAUUGAGCUAAUCCAUAAAAGUUAUCUCAGUUCGGAUUGUUCUCUGUAACUCGAGAGCAUGAAGCCGGAAUCGCUAGUAAUCGUGGAUCAGCAUGCCACGGUGAAUACGUUCUCGGGUCUUGUACACACUGCCCGUCAUGCCCUGGAAAUUGGUUUAACUCGAAGCUGGUGAGCUAA
RNAcentral lists this ribosomal RNA (1212 nucleotides) under Neoehrlichia mikurensis. RNAcentral describes it as "bacterial SSU rRNA". It matches the Rfam family "Bacterial small subunit ribosomal RNA", at positions 206 to 1438 of the family's 1533-position model. The record is from RNAcentral. Lineage: Bacteria; Pseudomonadati; Pseudomonadota; Alphaproteobacteria; Rickettsiales; Anaplasmataceae.